AGGAGUGUAGCUCAACUAGGUUAGAGCGCCGGUCUCCAAAACCGGAGGUUGCGGGUUCGAUUCCCUCCACUCCUG
This 75-nucleotide transfer RNA is filed under the name Beijerinckia sp. 28-YEA-48. It matches the Rfam family "tRNA". From Rfam's summary of the family: Transfer RNA (tRNA) molecules are approximately 80 nucleotides in length. Their secondary structure includes four short double-helical elements and three loops (D, anti-codon, and T loops). Lineage: Bacteria; Pseudomonadati; Pseudomonadota; Alphaproteobacteria; Hyphomicrobiales; Beijerinckiaceae. The record is from Rfam by way of RNAcentral.